Non-coding RNA from Mycena rebaudengoi, 94 nucleotides. The record is from the annotation of a GenBank genome assembly. NCBI's taxonomy places the organism in Eukaryota, Fungi, Basidiomycota, Agaricomycetes, Agaricales, Mycenaceae.
GGUCCAGUAGCAUAGUGGUUAAUGCACCCGAAUGAAUUAGUUGGUUAUCCUCCCAGUUAUUCUGACUAUCCUUGUUCAACUCAAGGCUGGACCA